GCGUUCCUUCCGGCGUCUCCAACCGCCGCCUGCUCCCGCCGUCCACCCGCGCGGGCCGCCUGGGACGGGGAGGGCCGGGCUGCGGGCUUUUCUCCCUUCCAGAGUCCUGCGCCCGCCCAAAGCCCCCCCGCAGAGGCUGGGCAGCGGCUCCGGGAAGUGGACGCCGUUUGCCCAGACGGUGGGCUCGACUGAAGCGGCGCGGUCCCGGGUGGGGCCGCCCGGGAAGAAAGUCUCCCAGUUAAGCUGCCGUGCAAUUAAGAUGGUUGGGUUUGGAUUGUUGUACUUUUUUUUUUGUUCGUUGCAUUUUUAGGAACAAAAAAAAAAGCCCAACCCUUCACACCACUUCAUCCGCAUCUCAAGACCAGAAGCCGACCCCAGCGGCUUGGGGAAAUGGAGCCCCGCACCCCACAAGGGGGAGGGUGGGACGGGCACCUCCGCACUGCGCGGCCUGCGGAGUCACCGAUUCGCGUUGGGAGCGCGCCAGGAGCGCCAGGGCUCUAGCCGGGGGCUCCGGGCAAGGCGCAACCAGAAAAGGGUUCAGUAUCCCCCAUCACCCCCACCCCCAACCGUACCCUCUUUCUUUGCGGGCUUUAGGCAGGACACCAGAGACCCAAUUCUAUUUAAAAUUCUCUUUUAAGAAAAGGAACGCCUGUUUUUGCCUUUGGGGGAAAGGAUGAACUUUCAAAUUGGCUUUAAAUUAUCCACCACUAACAGUUACUCAGUCGAUAACCUGACUAUUCUGACGUCCACCUCCCGUUUGAGGACCUUGCCCAAUAGCAAACGUACUAAGCACUUAACCAGUGAACGGUGUGAAGGAUGCAAACAUGGAUGAUGAAGGAAUGGCUCCUCCAGAAUUUACGAUCUUGGGAGAAGUGAGGCGAGUAUAGAAUCUCAGAACACGCUGUAGGAUUGAGUUCGAUCCCAGUUGAGGAAGUUUGGGUUUGGGGAGGAAAUAGGUUAUUUUGGAGAAACGGUAUUCAAAACCUACCAUAAAUAGCAGUACAGCCCGUUGACUAAUAAUGCUUAGCCCAACCCCCGUAAAAAGCCCCUGGCCACAUCCGUCUCCUGAGAUUCCCACUUCUCUGUGUGCAUCUCCCUUCCUGCUAUAAGAAACCUAACUUUGCCUUCGUAGAACACUUCUUUUAAUUUCUGUCAUUCAGUCUCAUAACACUGUGUAAAAGAAAUUAUGAUCUUCAUCCUAUAUAGAUGAGAAAACAGGUGAAGUGACUUUUCCAAGGUACAAAAGCAAGAGGCAGAGCUGAGGCUAAAGGCAGCUUCCAGAUAUGGGCUCUUUCUACAGCACCAUAACUGUCAGUGACAAAACUGCACCCCAGUACCUUACUAAAUUUAGUGUUUUUAGGCCAGGCACGGUGGCUCACGCCUGUAAUCCCAGCACUUUGGGAGGUCGAGGCGGGCAGAUCACCUGAGGUCAGGAGUUCCAGACCGGACUGACCAACAUGGUGAAACCUGGUCUCUACUAAAAAUACAAAAAUUAGCCGGUCAUGGUGCCGUAUGCCUGUAGUCCCAGCUACUUGAGAGGCUGAGGCAGGAGAAUAGCUUGAACCCGGGAGAUGGAGGUUGCAGUGAGCCGAGAUCCUACCACUGCACUCCAGCCUGGGCAACAGAGCAAGACUCCGUCUCAAUAACUAAAUUAAUUAAUUAAUUUAGUGUUUCUAAAAAAACAAAGUGAUCUGUAGAAACAUCUCAUUUAUUUGUUGUCAUUGUGUGUUGAUUGAUUUUGAGACAGGGUCUAUCUCUGUCCCCCAGGCUGGAGUGCAGUAGCAUGAUCAUGGCUCACUACAGCCUCAAGCCCCUGGGCCCAAGUUAUCCUCCUCCCUUAGCCUCCCAAGUAGCUGGGACCACAGACAUGCGCCACCACGCCUGGCUAAUUUUAUUUUUUGUAAAGAUAGAGUCUCACUAUGUUGCCCAGGCUGGUGUCAAACUCCUGGGCUCAAGUGUUCCUCAGGCCUCAGCCUCCCAAAGUGCUGGGAUUACAGGCGUGAGCCACCACACCCAGCCAUAUGGAAACAUUUCAGAUAUCCUAAUAUUAAAAUGAUAUUUCACAAGACUGGACAGUUAUUAACUCAUGUGAAAGGAAAAUCUUGGGGCCCCAAAAUCACUAAGCUAAAGGAAAAAGUCAAGCUUCGGAGAACUGCUUAGGGCAAACCUGCCUCCCAUUCUAUUCAAAGUCAUCCCUCUGCUCACUGAGAUAAAUGAAUAUCUGAUUGCCUCCUUUGGAAAGGGUAACCAGAAACUCAAAAGAAUGCAGUGAUUUGCCUCUUAUCUCCCUAAAACCUGGAAGCCCGCCCCCUGUUUUGAGUUGUCCCACCUUUGCUUCAAGUCGUCCCACCUUUUCUGGACUGAACCAGUGUUCAUCUUACACACGCUGAUUGAUGUCUCGUGUCUUCCUAAAAUGUACAAAACCAAACUGCUCUGACCACCUCGGGUUCUGACCUCCUGAAGCUGUAUCAUGGGCACGCAUCCUCAACCGUGGCAAAAUAAACUUUCUAAAUUAACUGGGACAUGGCUCAGAUUUUUAGGGUUCACACGCAAAACCCACAAAUUAUCCUUAAUAUAAUUAUAUAAUAUAUAUUUAUGUAGUUAGAUCUGGUUGGUGGUAGAUACUAAUACACUUUUGCCCAACUAAGUGUAAAACACAUUAAAUCUGUAUAGCAAUCUCUAGACUAUUACACAAAAUUAACUACUAACUAGAAAACACAGUAUAUUAAAUUCUCUUAAGUGUGGAAAAAUGGAGAAGGAAGAAUAACCUUUUCUCUCCUCCCGUGGUCCUAAUACACAGAACAGCGACUGGGAAACUGCCACUAGAAAAAGAUGACUGUCCAACUAAAACCUGCAUACACAGCUACAUCCUUCCCUGGAAGAGCACAGUGGAACUAGAUCCUAGUACAGAUAGCACAGGGAUUGUCAACAUUCUUGUCACACUGAAAUUUCCUUCUACUGAUCUCCAAAGAUGGUGUUUUGCCAUGUUGCCUAGGCUAGUCUCAAACUCACAGACUCCAAUGAUCCACCCGCUUUGGCCAAUCAAAGUGCUGGAAUUACA
Molecule: long non-coding RNA, 3061 nt
Filed under: Homo sapiens (human)
Lineage: Eukaryota; Metazoa; Chordata; Mammalia; Primates; Hominidae
Description: HSALNT0373365
Rfam family: mir-3613 microRNA precursor family (bases 262-347)
Source: RNAcentral